GGCCAUGAACCGCUGAGUA
RNAcentral lists this non-coding RNA (19 nucleotides) under Rattus norvegicus (Norway rat). The record is from RNAcentral. Lineage: Eukaryota; Metazoa; Chordata; Mammalia; Rodentia; Muridae.